Molecule: long non-coding RNA, 558 nt
Organism: Oncorhynchus tshawytscha (Chinook salmon)
Lineage: Eukaryota; Metazoa; Chordata; Actinopteri; Salmoniformes; Salmonidae
Source: Ensembl
GAUUACUGUUCCCACUAUGUUACUGUUCCCACCAGGUUACUGUUCCCACUAUGUUACUGUUCCCACUAUGUUACUGUUCCCACUAUGUUACUGUUCCCACCAGGUUACUGUUCCCACCAUGUUACUGUUCCCACCAGGUUACUGUUCCCACUAUGUUACUGUUCCCACCAGGUUACUGUUCCCACUAUGUUACUGUUCCCACUAUGUUACUGUUCCCACUAUGUUACUGUUCUCACCAGGUUACUGUUCCCACUAUGUUACUGUUCCCACCAGGUUACUGUUCCCACUAUGUUACUGUUCUCACCAGGUUACUGUUCCUACUAUGUUACUGUUCCCACUAUGUUACUGUUCUCACCAGAUUACUGUUCCCACUAUGUUACUGUUCCCACCAGGUUACUGUUCCCACUAUGUUACUGUUCUCACCAGAUUACUGUUCCCACUAUAUUACUGUUCCCACCAGGUUACUGUUCCCACUAUGUUACUGUUCCCACCAGGUUACUGUUCCCACCAGGUUACUGUUCCCACUAUGUUACUGUUCCCACUAGGUUACUGUUCCCA